UGCAGUCGAGCGGAACGAUCCUAGCUUGCUAGGAGGCGUCGAGCGGCGGACGGGUGAGUAAUGCAUAGGAAUCUGCCCGGUAGUGGGGGAUAACUUGAGGAAACUCAAGCUAAUACCGCAUACGCCCUACGGGGGAAAGCAGGGGCUCUUCGGACCUUGCGCUAUCGGAUGAGCUUAUGUCGGAUUAGCUGGUUGGUGAGGUAACGGCUCACCAAGGCGACGAUCCGUAGCUGGUCUGAGAGGAUGAUCAGCCACAUCGGGACUGAGACACGGCCCGAACUCCUACGGGAGGCAGCAGUGGGGAAUAUUGGACAAUGGGGGCAACCCUGAUCCAGCCAUGCCGCGUGUGUGAAGAAGGCCCUCGGGUUGUAAAGCACUUUCAGCGAGGAAGAAUGCUUGUCGGUUAAUACCCGGCAAGGGAGACAUCACUCGCAGAAGAAGCACCGGCUAACUCCGUGCCAGCAGCCGCGGUAAUACGGAGGGUGCGAGCGUUAAUCGGAAUUACUGGGCGUAAAGCGUGCGUAGGCGGCUUGAUAAGCCGGUUGUGAAAGCCCCGGGCUCAACCUGGGAACGGCAUCCGGAACUGUUAGGCUAGAGUGCAGGAGAGGAAGGUAGAAUUCCCGGUGUAGCGGUGAAAUGCGUAGAGAUCGGGAGGAAUACCAGUGGCGAAGGCGGCCUUCUGGACUGACACUGACGCUGAGGUACGAAAGCGUGGGUAGCAAACAGGAUUAGAUACCCUGGUAGUCCACGCCGUAAACGAUGUCGACUAGCCGUUGGGGUCCUCGAGACCUUUGUGGCGCAGUUAACGCACUAAGUCGACCGCCUGGGGAGUACGGCCGCAAGGUUAAAACUCAAAUGAAUUGACGGGGGCCCGCACAAGCGGUGGAGCAUGUGGUUUAAUUCGAUGCAACGCGAAGAACCUUACCU
Molecule: ribosomal RNA, 927 nt
Filed under: Halomonas elongata
Lineage: Bacteria; Pseudomonadati; Pseudomonadota; Gammaproteobacteria; Oceanospirillales; Halomonadaceae
Description: bacterial SSU rRNA
Rfam family: Bacterial small subunit ribosomal RNA
Source: RNAcentral